RNAcentral lists this ribosomal RNA (437 nucleotides) under uncultured bacterium. RNAcentral describes it as "partial 16S ribosomal RNA". It matches the Rfam family "Bacterial small subunit ribosomal RNA", at positions 29 to 507 of the family's 1533-position model. The record is from RNAcentral.
AGCGAACGCUGGCGGCAGGCUUAACACAUGCAAGUCGAGCGGGCAUCCUUGUGGUGUCAGCGGCAGACGGGCGAGUAACGCGUGGGAACGUGCCCUUCGGUUCGGAAUAACUCAGGGAAACUUGAGCUAAUACCGGAUACGUGCGAGAGCAGAAAGGUUUAUCUGCCGAAGGAUCGGCCCGCGUCUGAUUAGCUAGUUGGUGAGGUUAUGGCUCACCAAGGCGACGAUCAGUAGCUGGUCUGAGAGGAUGAUCAGCCACACUGGGACUGAGACACGGCCCAGACUCCUACGGGAGGCAGCAGUGGGGAAUAUUGGACAAUGGGGGCAACCCUGAUCCAGCCAUGCCGCGUGAGUGAUGACGGCCUUAGGGUUGUAAAGCUCUUUUCUCCGGGACGAUAAUGACGGUACCGGAGGAAUAAGCCCCGGCUAACUUCGUG